GUGCCAGCCGCCGCGGUAAUACCGGCAGCCCGAGUGAUGGCCGAUCUUAUUGGGCCUAAAGCGUCCGUAGCUGGCUGCGCAAGUCCGUCGGGAAAUCCACCUGCCCAACAGGUGGGCGUCCGGCGGAAACUGUGUGGCUUGGAACCGGAAGGCUCAGAGGGUACGUCCGGGGUAGGAGUGAAAUCCCGUAAUCCUGGACGGACCACCGGUGGCGAAAGCGCCUUCGGAAGACGGAUCCGACAGUGAGGGACGAAAGCUAGGGUCUCGAACCGGAUUAGAUACCCUAGUAGUCC
Molecule: ribosomal RNA, 293 nt
Filed under: uncultured bacterium
Lineage: Bacteria
Description: partial 16S ribosomal RNA
Rfam family: Archaeal small subunit ribosomal RNA
Source: RNAcentral